CGCUAUAGCAGGAAGUGUUCUGAGCCAGGAGCCUGAGAAACCGGACACCUCGGCUGGAAGCCAGCUCCCUCGCUGGGAUUUAGGACAGGUGGUCCUCUGGGCGGUGGCCCACACUGUUGGCUCUGGAAGGGCUCAUGCUGUGAGGGACUUGCCAGCGUGCAGACCUGUCAAAACGCCACUGCACCAAUGUACAGAGCUCGGCUUCAAG
Long non-coding RNA from Hipposideros armiger (great roundleaf bat), 208 nucleotides. RefSeq lists it as uncharacterized. The record is from RefSeq and is a predicted model, not a curated record. The transcript is spliced from 2 exons. NCBI's taxonomy places the organism in Eukaryota, Metazoa, Chordata, Mammalia, Chiroptera, Hipposideridae.